Molecule: long non-coding RNA, 1485 nt
Organism: Prionailurus viverrinus (fishing cat)
Lineage: Eukaryota; Metazoa; Chordata; Mammalia; Carnivora; Felidae
Exons: 3
Source: RefSeq, a predicted model, not a curated record
ACAGUAGAAGCUGAGUGUGAAGACGAACGGAGGAGCCGUCUACACUAGGCUGAGAGUGAAGAUGAAGGGAGGAGAGGUCUACACUAAGCUGAGGGACUUUGGAACUUUAUUCCAGAAGCAAAUGAGCUGUAGGGAAUAUGAAUGAGAGAUGAUCACUUUUCUUUUGGAAAUCUCAAUUGGAAACUGGAAGAGACAGAAGCAAGCUGACUUCAUUACAGGGUCCCCAGUAGUGAUUGUGUGGGACGUACACAGCAGAGCAUUUUGACACAGUUUGGAUUCAGCGACUAGUUGUGGUAAAGGUGCAAGAGUCUGUCUCCACUACCUAGUCUCCUCUUAAAGCUGACUACAGGUAAUUACAUUAUGUCAAAUCACUGCUUAGAUUUCAGAGCCCAUGCUGCAGCUUUGCCCAGAGGAAAGUGGUGUAUUUCAUAAAUAAACAGAUUAAAAGGAGGACUGUUAUUCUAAAGCAAAUAUGCCAACUUUAUGGUUGAAAAGUAAUAAAUUGAAAUAUGUCAAAGUCUAAGUUGACAAUUUAAAAAGCCUAUGCCUAGAAUAUUCCAUCUCUACAAAUCAGCUUUGUUCAGGGACUCAAGAGGAACCAGACUAAAUUGAAAAACAUGUUUCAGUCUUAUUAUCCUCCGGACUGAUACAUCCAGAAGUGGAACUGUUAGAUCAUAUGGUGGGCCUAUUUUUAAUUUUUUAAGGAGACUCUGUGCCGGGUUCCAUAAUGGCAGCACCAGUUAGGAUACAUGUUUGUUUUUCACUCAUGUAAUGGUUGCUGGAUAAAUGAUCUUCCAUGUGUUUUAGGAACCCAGAUUCUUUCUGCCUGGUGGCUUCACCAUCCCUAGGAACUCAAAGUCCUUUGCUGGAUCCCUGUAUCCAUCCAGGAGAUGAGGAAGAAGGUGCAUGUUAAGGAUCAUUGAGAGGAUUCUGACGCCAGGCUCAAAAAUAAUUUGCAUUUAUUUUGUCCUUAUUUAAUUGGCCAGAUCCAGUUGUUUGUUCCUGUCCUCUGUCUUGCAGUUUUCAGGGGCUGGAAAAUACAGACACUACACUGCCCAAGGAAACAGAGACUUCCUUAACACUGCAUCCUCAAUGUCCAGAAGAGUGAUAAGUGUUAGAAGAAAUGGAAAUAUUUGCUAAGUGAAUGUUUUAAUGAGUUGAUGAGUGUGUGAAUGAAUGAAUGAAUGAAUUAGUCAGUCUAUGUCAGUACAGCAGGAAAAAUCAUGUCAAAGCAGGAAGUAGUAAGCAAUGGAGGUCUUGGUGAUAUUAAAAUCAAUGCUGACAAGUUUAACUAGAAGUAAGACAAAAGUACUAGAGCAGAUGCUUCUUUGGUCAUGUAGAGGAACAUGAGAGAGUUUGAGGAUCCACUUAAGUAUAUACCAUUUUUGAGGACAAAGUUUCAGGUAAUAUAAUGAGGUUAUGCAUUCAAUAUUAUAUAGCAUACAGAAUUUUAAAAAACUGUCUUUUUAUUGGAAUGGGAUAUUG